AACGAACGCUGGCGGCAUGCCUAACACAUGCAAGUCGAACGAGACCUUCGGGUCUAGUGGCGCACGGGUGCGUAACGCGUGGGAACCUGCCCUUAGGUUCGGAAUAACUCCCCGAAAGGGGUGCUAAUACCGGAUAAUGUCUUCGGACCAAAGAUUUAUCGCCUUUGGAUGGGCCCGCGUUGGAUUAGCUAGUUGGUAGGGUAAAAGCCUACCAAGGCGACGAUCCAUAGCUGGUCUGAGAGGAUGAUCAGCCACACUGGGACUGAGACACGGCCCAGAUUCCUACGGGGGGAGGAAGUGGGAAAUAUUGGAAAAGGGGCGAAAGCCUGACCAAGAAAGGCCGGGGGAGGGAAGAGGGCUUUGGGGUUGAAAAGCUUUUUUCCCCGGGAGAAAAAUGACAGUCCCGGGAGAAAAAGCCCGGGCAAACCCGGU
Molecule: ribosomal RNA, 432 nt
Filed under: uncultured bacterium
Lineage: Bacteria
Description: partial 16S ribosomal RNA
Rfam family: Bacterial small subunit ribosomal RNA
Source: RNAcentral